This is a long non-coding RNA of Cygnus olor (mute swan), 1340 nucleotides long. RefSeq lists it as uncharacterized. NCBI's taxonomy places the organism in Eukaryota, Metazoa, Chordata, Aves, Anseriformes, Anatidae. The record is from RefSeq and is a predicted model, not a curated record. The transcript is spliced from 2 exons.
CACAGGAUGGUUUCUGGCUUUGUCAAUGUAACAGGAGAGAGUUAAAAAAAAAGGCAUGGACAUUUCCACUUACUGGAGUUGUAAACGAGUAAAUUCUAUAUUUUCCUGAAGCAUCUUUAUUUUAAAGGCGUCUGAGGAGUAAUGUGUGCAGGUUAUUUAUGAAUUGUAAGUUUGCAAUUGAAAAUAGCCCACAAACCAAGUCUGGACCCAUCUUACCCAGCUGGUCCUGUCCAUUGGUGCUAUGAAAAGUGUGAUAUUUGCGGUGGCAGGUGCCUUUGUGUUAUGUCUGAGAAUUCAGAAGUGUUAAUACUAAAGGUAAAGGAAACUGCGGUGUCUUUGAUCCUGCUAUGUGGUAACUGUUGUCAGAUGUGAACAGAGAAGCUGUGGAAGGAAAACUGGACACAAAAUUGUGAGGAAAUCACAUUAAACAUAUCAGCCACCUUCCUUUGGGAUGAUCAGAUCACUUGCAGUACUCCUGUACUUUCCCAGCAAACAUUUAAAGGCCCUGGAUACGCUCUGUCGUGUUUUCUGACAGGCAGGGACUGCAGCAAGGAUGCUACUGCCAUAGCUGGGAUGAACAAAUGCGUCCCUGCCAGAGGCUGCCUCACUCAGGCACCUUGUCUCUCGGGGGUUUUGGGUCCACUCUCUGCCAUGAAGGCUCUGGCUCCACAAUGACAUAGAGGCCUUCCAUAAUACAGCACCUCUACAGCCAUUUGAAUCAGAAAGCAAUGGAAAAAGCGUUGCUUGAAUUUAAAAUAAGAGCUUGUUCUGUAGUCGGCUUUUCCCACUCCUUUCUCAGCAAGAUGAUUUAAGGCUCUGCCUGCACUGAGGGCUGAAUUCCUGACUGAGACGACAAAACAUCUACUUCAACAUGUUUUAGCUCAAGUAUAGGCCAGCCCAAAGCUGAAAUCUUUUCUAAAAGCUGGGCUCUGGGAUGAACUGCUCUGCUAUCCUCCCCUCCCACCACUCUGAGUGCAACUUGCAUUUAAAGCCUUCAACAACCAGAUUUGCAGUUUUGUGGUCCCUCAUCCUACCUCCUGCUCCCACUCCCUCACCUUCUGAUGGGUUUACAGAUCUGCCUGCAAGGAGAUGCUGGGCUGAUUCCUGAGGGAUUGCUCGUCUGGACAGCUCUGAUCCAGGCUCCCAGAAGACCCGUGCCCAAGGCCCCCAAACCAGCACCAGGUGAUGCUGAAUCGAAGCCUGCCUUUUGCAGUUCUCACAAUAUCCUACUUUUGAAGCAUGUCAUCUCGCAGCCUCGUCGACGUGGGAGACGUAACUUAUCAUUACAAAGAAGUCUUCCAUCUUUUCAAUUAAAAGCAUCGCACUUAUCACAGGGCCAG